GAUGAACGCUGGCGGCGUGCCUAACACAUGCCAGUCGAACGGACAGACCCUGCUUUUGUUGGUUUCUCGAGUGGCGAAGGGGUGAGUGACACGCGUGUAAACUGCCCCUGUCUUUCGGAUAUCUUCACGAGACUGGGGCUCAUAUCGGAUAGAAUCUCCUGCUGCGUGGUGGUGGUUGGAGAGAGUCGGCCGUUGUGGCUGGACUGGCGGCUUACCAGCUUGUUGGUGUGGUAGUGGCUUACCAAGGCUUUGACGGGUAGCCGGCCUGAGAGGGUGAACGGGGACAAUAGGACUGAGAGACGGCGCAGUCUCGUACGGGAGGCAGCAGUGGAGAAUAUUGCACAAUGGGCGGAAGCGUGUGACAGCAACGCUGCGAGCGGGAUGACCGCUUUUGGGUGGUAAACCGCUGUCGCCGGUGACGAAGCGGGAGUGACGGUAACUGGUAAAGAAGCACCGGCUAACUACGUG
This 468-nucleotide ribosomal RNA is filed under the name uncultured bacterium. Its description in RNAcentral is "partial 16S ribosomal RNA". It matches the Rfam family "Bacterial small subunit ribosomal RNA", at positions 28 to 507 of the family's 1533-position model. The record is from RNAcentral.